Molecule: ribosomal RNA, 2903 nt
Filed under: Escherichia coli
Lineage: Bacteria; Pseudomonadati; Pseudomonadota; Gammaproteobacteria; Enterobacterales; Enterobacteriaceae
Description: 23S ribosomal RNA
Rfam family: Bacterial large subunit ribosomal RNA
Source: RNAcentral
UUAAGCGACUAAGCGUACACGGUGGAUGCCCUGGCAGUCAGAGGCGAUGAAGGACGUGCUAAUCUGCGAUAAGCGUCGGUAAGGUGAUAUGAACCGUUAUAACCGGCGAUUUCCGAAUGGGGAAACCCAGUGUGAUUCGUCACACUAUCAUUAACUGAAUCCAUAGGUUAAUGAGGCGAACCGGGGGAACUGAAACAUCUAAGUACCCCGAGGAAAAGAAAUCAACCGAGAUUCCCCCAGUAGCGGCGAGCGAACGGGGAGCAGCCCAGAGCCUGAAUCAGUGUGUGUGUUAGUGGAAGCGUCUGGAAAGGCGCGCGAUACAGGGUGACAGCCCCGUACACAAAAAUGCACAUGCUGUGAGCUCGAUGAGUAGGGCGGGACACGUGGUAUCCUGUCUGAAUAUGGGGGGACCAUCCUCCAAGGCUAAAUACUCCUGACUGACCGAUAGUGAACCAGUACCGUGAGGGAAAGGCGAAAAGAACCCCGGCGAGGGGAGUGAAAAAGAACCUGAAACCGUGUACGUACAAGCAGUGGGAGCACAGAGCAAUCUGUGUGACUGCGUACCUUUUGUAUAAUGGGUCAGCGACUUAUAUUCUGUAGCAAGGUUAACCGAAUAGGGGAGCCGAAGGGAAACCGAGUCUUAACUGGGCGUUAAGUUGCAGGGUAUAGACCCGAAACCCGGUGAUCUAGCCAUGGGCAGGUUGAAGGUUGGGUAACACUAACUGGAGGACCGAACCGACUAAUGUUGAAAAAUUAGCGGAUGACUUGUGGCUGGGGGUGAAAGGCCAAUCAAACCGGGAGAUAGCUGGUUCUCCCCGAAAGCUAUUUAGGUAGCGCCUCGUGAAUUCAUCUCCGGGGGUAGAGCACUGUUUCGGCAAGGGGGUCAUCCCGACUUACCAACCCGAUGCAAACUGCGAAUACCGGAGAAUGUUAUCACGGGAGACACACGGCGGGUGCUAACGUCCGUCGUGAAGAGGGAAACAACCCAGACCGCCAGCUAAGGUCCCAAAGUCAUGGUUAAGUGGGAAACGAUGUGGGAAGGCCCAGACAGCCAGGAUGUUGGCUUAGAAGCAGCCAUCAUUUAAAGAAAGCGUAAUAGCUCACUGGUCGAGUCGGCCUGCGCGGAAGAUGUAACGGGGCUAAACCAUGCACCGAAGCUGCGGCAGCGACGCUUAUGCGUUGUUGGGUAGGGGAGCGUUCUGUAAGCCUGUGAAGGUGUACUGUGAGGUAUGCUGGAGGUAUCAGAAGUGCGAAUGCUGACAUAAGUAACGAUAAAGCGGGUGAAAAGCCCGCUCGCCGGAAGACCAAGGGUUCCUGUCCAACGUUAAUCGGGGCAGGGUGAGUCGACCCCUAAGGCGAGGCCGAAAGGCGUAGUCGAUGGGAAACAGGUUAAUAUUCCUGUACUUGGUGUUACUGCGAAGGGGGGACGGAGAAGGCUAUGUUGGCCGGGCGACGGUUGUCCCGGUUUAAGCGUGUAGGCUGGUUUUCCAGGCAAAUCCGGAAAAUCAAGGCUGAGGCGUGAUGACGAGGCACUACGGUGCUGAAGCAACAAAUGCCCUGCUUCCAGGAAAAGCCUCUAAGCAUCAGGUAACAUCAAAUCGUACCCCAAACCGACACAGGUGGUCAGGUAGAGAAUACCAAGGCGCUUGAGAGAACUCGGGUGAAGGAACUAGGCAAAAUGGUGCCGUAACUUCGGGAGAAGGCACGCUGAUAUGUAGGUGAAGUCCCUCGCGGAUGGAGCUGAAAUCAGUCGAAGAUACCAGCUGGCUGCAACUGUUUAUUAAAAACACAGCACUGUGCAAACACGAAAGUGGACGUAUACGGUGUGACGCCUGCCCGGUGCCGGAAGGUUAAUUGAUGGGGUUAGCGCAAGCGAAGCUCUUGAUCGAAGCCCCGGUAAACGGCGGCCGUAACUAUAACGGUCCUAAGGUAGCGAAAUUCCUUGUCGGGUAAGUUCCGACCUGCACGAAUGGCGUAAUGAUGGCCAGGCUGUCUCCACCCGAGACUCAGUGAAAUUGAACUCGCUGUGAAGAUGCAGUGUACCCGCGGCAAGACGGAAAGACCCCGUGAACCUUUACUAUAGCUUGACACUGAACAUUGAGCCUUGAUGUGUAGGAUAGGUGGGAGGCUUUGAAGUGUGGACGCCAGUCUGCAUGGAGCCGACCUUGAAAUACCACCCUUUAAUGUUUGAUGUUCUAACGUUGACCCGUAAUCCGGGUUGCGGACAGUGUCUGGUGGGUAGUUUGACUGGGGCGGUCUCCUCCUAAAGAGUAACGGAGGAGCACGAAGGUUGGCUAAUCCUGGUCGGACAUCAGGAGGUUAGUGCAAUGGCAUAAGCCAGCUUGACUGCGAGCGUGACGGCGCGAGCAGGUGCGAAAGCAGGUCAUAGUGAUCCGGUGGUUCUGAAUGGAAGGGCCAUCGCUCAACGGAUAAAAGGUACUCCGGGGAUAACAGGCUGAUACCGCCCAAGAGUUCAUAUCGACGGCGGUGUUUGGCACCUCGAUGUCGGCUCAUCACAUCCUGGGGCUGAAGUAGGUCCCAAGGGUAUGGCUGUUCGCCAUUUAAAGUGGUACGCGAGCUGGGUUUAGAACGUCGUGAGACAGUUCGGUCCCUAUCUGCCGUGGGCGCUGGAGAACUGAGGGGGGCUGCUCCUAGUACGAGAGGACCGGAGUGGACGCAUCACUGGUGUUCGGGUUGUCAUGCCAAUGGCACUGCCCGGUAGCUAAAUGCGGAAGAGAUAAGUGCUGAAAGCAUCUAAGCACGAAACUUGCCCCGAGAUGAGUUCUCCCUGACCCUUUAAGGGUCCUGAAGGAACGUUGAAGACGACGACGUUGAUAGGCCGGGUGUGUAAGCGCAGCGAUGCGUUGAGCUAACCGGUACUAAUGAACCGUGAGGCUUAACCU